Long non-coding RNA from Gopherus flavomarginatus (Mexican gopher tortoise), 1529 nucleotides. RefSeq lists it as uncharacterized. The transcript has 2 exons. NCBI's taxonomy places the organism in Eukaryota, Metazoa, Chordata, Testudines, Testudinidae. The record is from RefSeq and is a predicted model, not a curated record.
CCUUCAAACCCUCCCAACCAGCCCCCUCAGUGUCCCCCCAUCUGUUGUGACCCUCUCGCCAGCCCCACCCCCAUCUGUGGGGAUCCCUCAGCCCCCAGCAUCCCCUCCCCCAUCGUGUACACUCUACCUGGCCUUUCCCUUCGCUCCGACCUCCUCCUCCCCCUCCGUCCUCAGCACCCCGACACUGACCUCCUCCUCUCGCCCCACCCCUGACAUCCUCCUUCCCGUUCUCAGCACCCCACCACCCCUUCCUCCUCCUCCCCCCCAACCCCGUCCUCAGCGCCCCACCCCUAAUUGCCUCCAACCCAUUUUUCAUUGCUGGAACCCACUUUCCCAUCCCCCCACUCCCUCAGUCCAUCCCCAGGGUGUGAGGUUCCUCAUCUUCAAUCUCUGCUACACCCAAACCUGCCAGGUUCCCCUUUUCAACAACUGUGGGGUCAUCCAACCCACCGACACCCAUCCACUCUGGGCUCUCUAAAUCCCACAUUCCCACAAUGCACGUUGGUAACCCCACCCUCCUCUAUCCCUAAUCCCCCUAUUCCCUUCCCUGGGGUCCUCCUGGACACCCCAACCCACAGUCAGGCCCCCACAUACAUCCCAGUCACUCACAUGCUGAGCUACUUCUUCAGAGACCCCCACAGCCCGGCAAACUUCUCCAUCCAUGAGCCCUAUGGACCUGUGGCCAGGAAGCUCCCACUUUGGCUGGGCAGGGUGUGGGUGUUAAUCUUUUCCUGUCUUGUGUGUGCUGUGCUCACAAAGGCUUUUUGCUCCCUCGGGGUGAGGUGUGGUUUUGGCCGAAGAUGAGGUGUUUGGUAGCCCUGUGGAUGCUGUGUGGUGUCUGGAAUGGGGCGUGUGUGUUCCCAUCAUGCCCCUUCCCCUCUGCCUGCAGAGCUGAGGACAGACAGGUCUGAGGAGCAGAGCAGGAGCUCUGGGAAGGAGAAGAGCAAUAUGAAGAUGGAGUGUAAGAUGAGGCCAGGUAAGUUCUGUGGAGGGAGACAUGCUGGACAGGGCCUAGGAUUGGGGAGACAAGCAGGUGUGAGCCCCGGGCUCAGAUUUCUAAUUGUAGCUGUGAUGGCAGAAUGGGAGGAGGGUUGAAGCUGAAGCCCUGGUGUGCGGGAGUAGUGAGAAGAGGAACCUCACCACCAUUGCUUUUUCUUUUCCUCUUGUGUUGUGUUUCAUACCAAGGGAAAAGAAGUCGCGGGGAUGGAGUCCAGCCCUGAGGUGAGAUGGAAAGUGAUCAAGAGCAGUGACAGCGUGAAUCCUGUUGAUGCCAGGCAAGAGCUGCCCAACUGGGACAAGAGUAACCAUCUCUGUCGUUGGAAUGGAGCUUUUAAUUGACAUUUGCUGGAUUCAAAUGGCUGACUUGCAACACCAGUUUUGACAUAGUUCUGCAUAUUUUAUUACGAUUUGACCAGUAUUCAAGGAUUCAAUUCCUUUAUAGGAGGUUUUAGAGGUCAUGCUUAUUUAUUUGAUGUUAUUUUAUCAUUCUGCUGUAGCACACUUUUUUGAUAAAAUGUUGAAAUUAUUAA